Molecule: ribosomal RNA, 506 nt
Filed under: uncultured bacterium
Lineage: Bacteria
Description: partial 16S ribosomal RNA
Rfam family: Bacterial small subunit ribosomal RNA
Source: RNAcentral
AUUGAACGCUGGCGGCAGGCCUAACACAUGCAAGUCGAACGGUAACAGGAAUCAGCUUGCUGAUUCGCUGACGUGUGGCGGACGGGUGAGUAAUGUCUGGGAAACUGCCUGAUGGAGGGGGAUAACUACUGGAAACGGUAGCUAAUACCGCAUAACGUCGCAAGACCAAAGAGGGGGACCUUCGGGCCUCUUGCCAUCGGAUGUGCCCAGAUGGGAUUAGCUAGUAGGUGGGGUAAUGGCUCACCUAGGCGACAAUCACUAGCUGGUCUGAGAGGAUGAACAGCCACACUGGAACUGAGACACGGUCCAGACUCCUACGGGAGGCAGCAGUGGGGAAUAUUGCACAAUGGGCGCAAGCCUGAUGCAGCCAUGCCGCGUGUAUGAAGAAGGCCUUCGGGUUGUAAAGUACUUUCAGCGAGGAGGAAGGUGUUGUGGUUAAUAACCAUGGCAAUUGACGUUACUCGCGGAAGAAGCACCGGCUAACUCUGUGCCAGCAGCCGCAGUAA